RNAcentral lists this ribosomal RNA (492 nucleotides) under uncultured bacterium. RNAcentral describes it as "partial 16S ribosomal RNA". It matches the Rfam family "Bacterial small subunit ribosomal RNA", at positions 29 to 507 of the family's 1533-position model. The record is from RNAcentral.
AGUGAACGCUGGCGGUAGGCCUAACACAUGCAAGUCGAACGGCAGCACAGUAAGAGCUUGCUCUUACGGGUGGCGAGUGGCGGACGGGUGAGGAAUACAUCGGAAUCUACUUUUUCGUGGGGGAUAACGUAGGGAAACUUACGCUAAUACCGCAUACGACCUACGGGUGAAAGCAGGGGAUCUUCGGACCUUGCGCGAUUGAAUGAGCCGAUGUCGGAUUAGCUAGUUGGCGGGGUAAAGGCCCACCAAGGCGACGAUCCGUAGCCGGUCUGAGAGGAUGAUCCGCCACACUGGAACUGAGACACGGUCCAGACUCCUACGGGAGGCAGCAGUGGGGAAUAUUGGACAAUGGGCGCAAGCCUGAUCCAGCCAUACCGCGUGGGUGAAGAAGGCCUUCGGGUUGUAAAGCCCUUUUGUUGGGAAAGAAAAGCAGCAGGUUAAUACCCCGCUGUUCUGACGGUACCCAAAGAAUAAGCACCGGCUAACUUCGUG